Physcomitrium patens is the source of this 896-nucleotide non-coding RNA. The record is from RefSeq and is a predicted model, not a curated record. NCBI's taxonomy places the organism in Eukaryota, Viridiplantae, Streptophyta, Bryopsida, Funariales, Funariaceae.
CCCCCCUCACCGGGCCGCCGUUAGUGACAAGGAGGGGCGGGUAUAGGAAAGAAGAGGUAUGCAGGCGCACACCUCUCUUGCAAGAAAGAGAGAGGAGAGGUGAGGAGAGGUAGAGGAGAUGGGAGGGCUAGGCAAGUGCAUGUGGAGGAGCUGCGAGGCUGCGAGCUGCGGGCGGGGACAAGGGCGAGCGUGAGGGUGGGCGACCGCGAUGACGGGCUGCGGGUGAGGGCGAGGGUGGGGCUGUGGGUUGUGGGCGAAGACAAGGACUGGGCUGCGGAUUGUGGGUGAAGCUGCGGGCUACGGGCGAAGGCGAGGGCAUGGCUGCGAGCUGUGGGCGAAGGCGAGGGCAGGGCUGCUAGCUGUGGGCGAAGGCAGGGCUGCGAGCUGUGGGCAAAGGCGACAAGGUUGCAAGUGGUGGGUGAAGGGGAGGGCAGGGCUGCGGGCUGUGGGCGAAGGCGAGGGCGAAGGCGAGGGCGAAGGCGAGGGCUGGGCUGGGAGCUACGGGCAAGGCUACGGGCUAGGCUGCGGGCUAUGGAUAAGGGCAGGGCUGCGAGCGACAAGGGUUUGGGCGGAGGCGGAGGCAGAAGAAUUUCCAUCUUAGAUAUUUUCAAGCCCCGGUCAUGUGAUGCUCAUACUUGUAAGAAGAAGUUGAAGAUAUGAUAAAUAAUGCCACGGAACACGUUUUUGGAGCCGCUCUGCCAUAGGAUGAGGAGUGUUGUGGAGUCAUAUGGUUGUAGAGUAGACAUGAUAUUUAUGUAGUCGCAAAAUAGGCUAGUAUGGUGUGAUUGAUAUGUUGGAUUUGAGUGUAGCAUGUUUGAUUAUUGGUUUUAUGUAUUGUUUGAUAAUGAAUAUUUUUACAUAUUAUUGAUAUAUUGAAAUACCUUACACUUUGAGUU